Molecule: ribosomal RNA, 255 nt
Filed under: uncultured bacterium
Lineage: Bacteria
Description: partial 16S ribosomal RNA
Rfam family: Bacterial small subunit ribosomal RNA
Source: RNAcentral
CGGCACGGUGAGUAACACGUAUGCAACCUGCCUGCCACAGCCGGAUAAUCGGGAGAAAUUCCGUCUAAUACGGCAUAAUGCAUCGACGGGACAUCCUGUUGGUGCCAAGGUAAUUCCGGUGGCGGAUGGGCAUGCGUCGCAUUAGUUAGUUGGCGGUGUAACGGACCACCAAGACGACGAUGCGUAGGGGUUCUGAGAGGAAGGUCCCCCACACUGGUACUGAGACACGGACCAGACUCCUACGGGAGGCAGCAG